AAGGCCCUAAAAUUGGUUUUCUCUACCCUAAGAUACCAUCCCGCCACUCUCCUACGCUAGGUGUCUCUCUCGAUCUCUCUCUCUCUUUCUCACAUGGCCAUAAAAUGAAGAAGGCUUGGAUGAAUGGAAGGGUACAUACAGAGGCUUCUCUAGGAGACAUGAUUCGAACGGGGAUGAUGCGACGACAUCAUUAUUCGACGAUGUGCGACAAGGUGAUGGGGCUUGAGGCUUGGGGUGUGUGAUAGGGAGGUUGGGUCGUGGGUUCUACAGGGUGGCUUAGUCGUGGGUGUGAUGGUGCUCGCGGCGGUGGUUCGUGCGACGGGUUCGACUUCGGCAAGGUUGUACUGCAACAGAUGAUUUCUUCUAGGUUUGAUGAUUGUUUUGGGUUUUGUCUUGAUUUAUAUCUGAAAUUGAAAAUUUAAUCUUCAAACUUGUUUAGGGGAUUUCACUUUGAUUUCCUAAAGGCAUGUGAAGCGUGAAGAAAUUGAAGAUAAGGUUAUCUGGAUUACUGGUGCCGGUCGUGGAGUUGGUACUUAUAUAUAUAUAUUUACAUUUUUGUUUGAAACUUUCAUUUUCUGUAUGUUUACCGGUUAAUUGAACUAUAUUUUUGUUAUUUCUUAAUUAUUUUCUCUUACCAUGUUUAAAUUAGUUGAAUACUUUAUGUUAAUGCCACUUCAUUGGGCAAGGUUGAUAAAAUUUUGGGCUAUUCUUUUCUUAAAUGAUUAAAACACAUAUUUUAAAUAUUCUGAGUUGGGUUUCUCUUCAAGGUAAUUUAAAAAAAAAAACAAAAACAAAAACGUAUUGUUGCUUCAAUACCUUCACGUGUUCCUUUAUGCUGGUAGUUGUCACCACAAACGUGUCAAGAUUAUGAUAUACUCAUCAAAUUGGUUCGUGUUAAUAGAAUUAUUGUAAGCUGAAACAUAACGCACAAUUUAAUCUUUAUUAGAUUCAUUGCUGUUACUUAGCUUCACUGAGUGGAAAGGUACACUAGCAUGAAGAACUACCUUCUAUUGUGUUGAGCUAGUUUGAGGAUAAUGUAGAGCUUUGUUUUAGAGUUUAGGCAGUCUAAAAUAACUUAGGGGGUUCUAUGUAGAGCUUUAGUUUAGAUUUUAGGCAGUCUAAAAGUAAAGUCUUUUAUAAGCAUAUGAACUUUCAGAUAGGAUAAUAGUUUUUGUAAAUUGAGAUUACAGCUAGGAACUUAGCAUAUUUGUAAAUUGAGGCUCUUUGAUGAUCUUUUAUGAUAUUAUGCCAUUACACAUUGCAUUUUUAUCAUAAGUUGUCUCUGUAAGAUUAUCUAUUAUACUCGUGCCUAACUAAUCUUUGAGUGACAUUUGACUUUGUUGCAAAUGCUAUAUUACAAGAUGACCAUAUGUGUGGCCAUAUGUUUUUUCAUAGAGUAUGAGUUCAAAAAGAAUUUCAAGGGCUUUAUGUGGAUCUCCUUGAUCUAAGGUGUGAUUUCUACCAUGCUAUAUUAAGUUGAAUUAGAACAUGAAAAGAUGUUCAGUUCCAAUACAAUUCUUUAUUUAUUGGGUUAAAUAACAAUCUUAUUUAGAUGAAGGACCCUCUUUUAAAUUUGGAUACAAGCACACCUAUUUUCUCAAGCAAGUGUUGUUCCAAACUUUCAAUCCACAAAGUGUAAAAGAAGAAUUGACAUUUUUUAGUCAUGUUGUAUUUGGUAAAAGUGUUCAUUGUAGAUUUGUUGGAUUUCAUCUUUGUAAAAUUUUCGAGAUUGUUGAUAUCAGAUUUUUGAUCUUGUUGAUUGUUAUAGUCAAGUCUUUUAUUUGUUUGUUAAGUUUCUGUUUGGAGGCUGGUGAUUUCUAGACUGGCUUGAGUGGGUCUGUUUAGCAUACAUACAUAGUCGAACCACUUGCACUCUGUUGCCAAAUUAAUUGAUUGAUUCAUUUUGGGGAUUUUUAAGAGCUAUAAUGAAUUUUGGUUUGGAAAAAAGCUUGAAUGAGAUAUAUAUUUCAGUUUAAAUCACAUUAUGAUUUCUUUUAGAUAUGAAUUUUUUUGGUUUUUAUGUCUUGUAAUGAUUCUUAUAAAGCUUAUUUUAUUAUGUAUCUUUGUUGUUGAUGAUCUUAGAUAGAUAUGUGGUAUGAGAUUGUUACAGUAUCCAGUAUUAUGCUAAAGAGACUUGCAGAGCUCUUGUGUCUCAGUAUCGAGGAUGCUGAGAAGCAUCUUUCAUACAUAUAUUUGUUUGAAUUAUUUGAUGUUUAAGUUCUAUCUCUUUUGUAAGGAAAUAUAAGCAUUCACUGUUCUUUCACGGUCAUUUUUAGGACAUUUUGAAUAGCAGUUUUGUUUUACUUUUUACAUUUGCCUGAGAUAACUGUCGGAUUCUCAUAGAUUUAUUAUAUCUUUUGAUAAUGCCAAUCUUAGUCUUAAAAUGAAAUAUCAUGUAUUAUAUGUACUAGUCUUAAAUUUAUCAUGAGUUUCACAACCAUAUACAUAAGCUGUUUUAUAUCAAGAUAAUUUAAAUACAUUAAUAUUCAUUGAUCGCUGAAAAAUAGUUAUGCAUAUAUAGUAAUAUUAAUAUUCAUUGAUCACUGAAGAGGCAAGAUACUCUAAUACCAAUAGCAGCAGAGGACCUUAAUGAACAAUAUAUACUCUCUUAUGUUUUAGGAAAUAAAUACUUCUCUCCUCUCGGCUUUCAAAUUCUGUUAUUAUUAUUAAUAUUAUUAUUAUUAUUAUUGUUAUUGUUAUUGUUAUUGUUACUAUUAUUGAAGCCCUAAUUUUGCAGGUUUGAACAAGGUAUAUAUCAACCUAUUCAAAAUCAUGAUUUUGCUUUGCAAAUAGCAUUAUUAUAUACAGUAUAUGAUCUUUAAAAGGGAUUGUUAUUCGUUUUGCUUCAUGCUCUUGAUAUUGACACUCGGUGGGACAGUUUAAAAUAGAGGAUUGGGGAGUGGUAAACGUGGUCAGCAAGCUUCACAACUGCAAACUAAAGUCAUUGCUAUUAACUUCAUAUAUUGUUAUAUCUAUCCUUUUUUUUAUUUGCAUUUGAUAUUUUUUUAAGUAUAAUAUUUAGCUUCAUGCUUUCUCUUAAUUGUUUUUGUACUAGUUUAUAUGUUGCUAAUAUCAUUCAUUACAGAAAAAGGCCUCAUGAGCAAUAAGGUAUUUCAUAUACAAUAAAUAUCUUACUGUAUAUCGACUAAGCCUUUUGGAUUAUUUAAUGUUAUUUUUGUAUCUGUGCAAUCAAGAGAUUUCUAUUGGCAUGUAUUGCUUAUAUUGCGUGCUUAAAUUGAAUAUAUAGCUUCAUGGCUAGCGAAGCUAUUAUUACAACAUGGUUACACUAUGAAAGUAUUUGUUCGUGACCCAAGUUAGUUCUUAUUAUUAUCUUUGGUUUUUUAACUCAUUUUAUAUUCUCUUCGGAAAUCUACACAAACAACAUGUAGUUUUAAUUUUUGGUUUUUCAACUUUUCAUUCUUAAAUUUUAUUUUGCAGGCAUAACUCCUUGUACAUGCAGAUGAUUCAAAGAAAACACAACACUUGGUUGCACUAGAUGGCAAGUGAUGUUGUACACUAAGUUCAUGGUGCCAAAUUUCGACAAGAACUUGUGUUUUUUAGAUAUUAUGUGAAGUUUUACUAUUUUUUUUCAUACUUGUACACACUUUUAUUUUAGGGGAUACAUUCAUUACCUUUUACUUAUGAUAUAUGAUUAAGUAUUUUAUAUUUACACACCAUUUGUUUUUUAAUAUAAGUGGCUGAGGUUAAGGAUUA
Humulus lupulus (European hop) is the source of this 3714-nucleotide long non-coding RNA. RefSeq lists it as uncharacterized. Lineage: Eukaryota; Viridiplantae; Streptophyta; Magnoliopsida; Rosales; Cannabaceae. The record is from RefSeq and is a predicted model, not a curated record. The transcript is spliced from 3 exons.